This is a non-coding RNA of Pelobates cultripes (western spadefoot toad), 252 nucleotides long. The record is from the annotation of a GenBank genome assembly. Lineage: Eukaryota; Metazoa; Chordata; Amphibia; Anura; Pelobatidae.
CAAACUAUUCAUCAAGAUUCAUUCAUUCAUUAGCACUGAAUAAAUAACAGCAAGUACAGACCACACAUAAAUCACACAAAGCAUCUAGACAGGCUGCACUAGGAGGACCAUUCCUUCCAAGAUUCCCUACUUAUUAGGGACAGUCCCUACUUUGGCCCAAAUCCCUCUGUCCCUCUUUUCUAUCCUAAUGCAUCUCUUUUCUGGGAGCUCCAUAUUGUUGGUGUGUCUGAGUGUAUAACAGAGCUCCACAGC